This 253-nucleotide ribosomal RNA is filed under the name uncultured bacterium. RNAcentral's name for it is "partial 16S ribosomal RNA". It matches the Rfam family "Bacterial small subunit ribosomal RNA", at positions 524 to 776 of the family's 1533-position model. The record is from RNAcentral.
UACGAAGGGGGCUAGCGUUGUUCGGAAUUACUGGGCGUAAAGAGUGUGUAGGCGGUUCCUUAAGUUCCGUGUGAAAUCUCCCGGCUCAACUGGGAGGGUGCGCGGGAAACUGGGGGGCUCGAGUAUGGGAGAGGAAAGCGGAAUUCCUGGUGUAGCGGUGAAAUGCGUAGAUAUCAGGAGGAACACCUGCGGUGUAGACAGCUUUCUGGACCAUCACUGACGCUGAGACACGAAAGCGUGGGUAGCAAACAGG